RNAcentral lists this unclassified non-coding RNA (220 nucleotides) under plant metagenome. RNAcentral's name for it is "partial contains small subunit ribosomal RNA, internal transcribed spacer 1, and 5.8S ribosomal RNA". The record is from RNAcentral.
UUUCCGUAGGUGAACCUGCGGAAGGAUCAUUACAGAGUUCAUGCCCUCACGGGUAGAUCUCCCAACCUCGAAUAUUUAUACCUUAGUUGCUUUUGCAGGCCGUGGAAACACCGCGGGCUCCGGCUUAUGCGUGCCUGCCAGAGGAAACACACUCUGUUUUUAGUGAUGUCUGAGUACUAUAUAAUAGUUAAAACUUUCAACAACGGAUCUCUUGGUUCUG